GGACGUUAGAUGUCGACUUGGAGGUUGUGCCCUUGAGGCGUGGCUUCCGGAGCUAACGCGUUAAGUCGACCGCCUGGGGAGUACGGCCGCAAGGUUAAAACUCAAAUGAAUUGACGGGGGCCCGCACAAGCGGUGGAGCAUGUGGUUUAAUUCGAUGCAACGCGAAGAACCUUACCUACUCUUGACAUCCAGAGAACUUAGCAGAGAUGCUUUGGUGCCUUCGGGAACUCUGAGACAGGUGCUGCAUGGCUGUCGUCAGCUCGUGUUGUGAAAUGUUGGGUUAAGUCCCGCAACGAGCGCAACCCUUAUCCUUUGUUGCCAGCGCGUAAUGGCGGGAACUCAAAGGAGACUGCCGGUGAUAAACCGGAGGAAGGUGGGGAUGACGUCAAGUCAUCAUGGCCCUUACGAGUAGGGCUACACACGUGCUACAAUGGCGUAUACAAAGGGAAGCGACCCUGCGAAGGCAAGCGGAACUCAUAAAGUACGUCGUAGUCCGGAUUGGAGUCUGCAACUCGACUCCAUGAAGUCGGAAUCGCUAGUAAUCGUAGAUCAGAAUGCUACGGUGAAUACGUUCCCGGGCCUUGUACACACCGCCCGUCACACCAUGGGAGUGGGUUGCAAAAGAAGUAGGUAGCUUAACCUUCGGGAGGGCGCUUACCACUUUGUGAUUCAUGACUGGGGUGAAGUCUAAAAGGGGGGAAACCAAAUAUUUAUAAAUUAAGGAUCAGGCGAUCCUUGAG
This 740-nucleotide ribosomal RNA is filed under the name Morganella morganii. RNAcentral's name for it is "bacterial SSU rRNA". It matches the Rfam family "Bacterial small subunit ribosomal RNA", at positions 798 to 1533 of the family's 1533-position model. Lineage: Bacteria; Pseudomonadati; Pseudomonadota; Gammaproteobacteria; Enterobacterales; Morganellaceae. The record is from RNAcentral.